RNAcentral lists this ribosomal RNA (931 nucleotides) under marine metagenome. RNAcentral describes it as "bacterial SSU rRNA". It matches the Rfam family "Archaeal small subunit ribosomal RNA", at positions 543 to 1467 of the family's 1478-position model. The record is from RNAcentral.
GGGUAAAUCAACCAGCUCAACUGGUUGAAUUCUGCGAGCACGGCCAGACUUGGGACCGGGAGAGGUGUGGGGUACGCUCAGGGUAGGGGUAAAAUCCUGUCAUCCUGAGGGGACCACCUGUUGCGAAGGCGCCACACUAGAACGGAUCCGACGGUCAGGGACGAAGCCUAGGGGCACGAACCGGAUUAGAUACCCGGGUAGUCCUAGGUGUAAACGCUGUGGACUUGGUGUUGGGGAUUCUCCGAGGAUUCUCAGUGCCGAAGCGAAGGUGAUAAGUCCACUGCCUGGGGAGUACGGUCGCAAGGCUGAAACUUAAAGGAAUUGGCGGGGGAGCACCGCAACCUGAGGAUUGUGCGGUUUAAUUGGAUUCAACGCCGGAAAACUCACCAGUGCCGACGGACAGAUGAAAGCCAGUGUGAUGAGCUUGCUGGAUUGUUCGAGAGGUAGUGCAUGGCCGCCGUCAGUUCGUACCGUAAGGCGUUCUGUUAAGUCAGAUAACGAACGAGACCCUCAUCCCUAUUUGCUAAGGUUUCUCCCUUCGGGGCGAGAUCACAGGACUAUAGGGAGACCGCUGGCGAGAAGUCAGAGGAAGGUGAGGGCAACGGUAGGUCAGUAUGCUCCGAAUGCACUGGGCUACACGCGCAAUACAAAGGACGGGACAAUGGGCCGCUGCUCCGAGAGGAAAGAUGGCUAUCCCGAAACCCGUUCGUAGUUCGGAUUGAGGGCUGUAACUCGCCCUCAUGAAGCUGGAUUAGGUAGUAAUCGCGUCUCAAAAAGGCGCGGUGAAUAUGCCCCUGCUCCUUGCACACACCGCCCGUCAAACCAUCUUAGUUGGGGGUGGGUGAGGCUGCCUUUUAGUGGGGUAUUCGAGCCUGCCUUCGACAAGGAGGGUUAAGUCGUAACAAGGUAUCUGUAGGGGAACCUGCAGAUG